This 434-nucleotide long non-coding RNA is filed under the name Gossypium barbadense (sea-island cotton). RNAcentral describes it as "long non-coding RNA (GBAR_LNC008492)". Lineage: Eukaryota; Viridiplantae; Streptophyta; Magnoliopsida; Malvales; Malvaceae. The record is from RNAcentral.
ACCGGGCAAAAUUGGCCUUUCUUUAUAUCUUUGCUCUAUUCUCGUUACACGAUAAUAAGCAAAGAGGGGCAGCUGUUGUAGGCCAAUUUUAGCCCAUUUACAUCAAAACCCAAUUUAGCCUUACCUAACCCACUAAAAUUAAACCCAAAACCCAAAAUCUUAACUACCCAAAGCCCAAUUUACAUCAAAACCCCAAUGGCCCAAACCCUAAGCCCAAAUCAAAAUAAAAAAAACCUAGCCACUCCUUUUCCACCACCAACUCCACUAGCCACACCUUUUCCACCACCAACUCCACUAGCCACUCUUUUUCCACCACCAACUCCACUAGCCACACAUUCUCCACCACCACUUGUACCUACAAAUGAAGACAUAAACAAUAAAAAAAAUAUUUUGUAAAUGGCUAUAUAAGCCUUCUCAUAUUUUGUAUAUGGGGG